This 464-nucleotide ribosomal RNA is filed under the name uncultured bacterium. RNAcentral describes it as "bacterial SSU rRNA". It matches the Rfam family "Bacterial small subunit ribosomal RNA", at positions 355 to 825 of the family's 1533-position model. The record is from RNAcentral.
UGGGGAAUAUUGCGCAAUGGGCGAAAGCCUGACGCAGCGACGCCGCGUGGGGGAUGAAGGUCUUCGGAUUGUAAACCCCUUUCGGGAGGGAAGAUGGAAUGGGGUAACCCAUUCGGACGGUACCUCCAGAAGCAGCCACGGCUAACUUCGUGCCAGCAGCCGCGGUAAUACGAAGGUGGCAAGCGUUAUUCGGAUUUACUGGGCGUACAGGGAGCGUAGGCGGUUCGGUAAGCCCUCUGUGAAAUCUUCAGGCUUAACCUGGAAAAGUCGGAGGGGACUGCUGGGCUAGAGGACGGGAGAGGAGCGCGGAAUUCCCGGUGUAGCGGUGAAAUGCGUAGAGAUCGGGAGGAAGGCCGGUGGCGAAGGCGGCGCUCUGGAACGUUUCUGACGCUGAGGCUCGAAAGCGUGGGGAGCAAACAGGAUUAGAUACCCUCGUAGUCCCUGAGCGGGCUGGCAAGGCGCAU